CUACGGGUGGCUCCAGUGGGGAAUAUUGCACAAUGGGCGCAAGCCUGAUGCAGCCAUGCCGCGUGUAUGAAGAAGGCCUUCGGGUUGUAAAGUACUUUCAGCGGGGAGGAAGGGAGUAAAGUUAAUACCUUUGCUCAUUGACGUUACCCGCAGAAGAAGCACCGGCUAACUCCGUGCCAGCAGCCGCGGUAAUACGGAGGGUGCAAGCGUUAAUCGGAAUUACUGGGCGUGAAGCGCACGCAGGCGGUUUGUUACGUCAGAUGUGAAAUCCCCGGGCUCAACCUGGGAACUGCAUCUGAUACUGGCAAGCUUGAGUCUCGUAGAGGGGGGUAGAAUUCCAGGUGUAGCGGUGAAAUGCGUAGAGAUCUGGAGGAAUACCGGUGGCGAAGGCGGCCCCCUGGACGAAGACUGACGCUCAGGUGCGAAAGCGUGGGGAGCAAACAGGAUUAGAUACCCGCGAGUC
RNAcentral lists this ribosomal RNA (463 nucleotides) under uncultured bacterium. Its description in RNAcentral is "partial 16S ribosomal RNA". It matches the Rfam family "Bacterial small subunit ribosomal RNA", at positions 339 to 795 of the family's 1533-position model. The record is from RNAcentral.